Molecule: long non-coding RNA, 273 nt
Filed under: Elaeis guineensis (African oil palm)
Lineage: Eukaryota; Viridiplantae; Streptophyta; Magnoliopsida; Arecales; Arecaceae
Description: long non-coding RNA (EGUI_LNC023307)
Source: RNAcentral
GUCUACUUCCAUAUGUCUGGCAUACAGUCAGUCAUAAAGAACUUCUGCACAGCCGCCACCACCUCUAAUUGAAUAAUAGGCCAGUACCUUCUGUAAAAGAGUAAGGGAAAACCAUCAGGGCCCGAGACUUUAUCCUCGGCCAUAAACCAUACUACUCUAUAUCCCCUCCUCAGUCACCUCACAAAGAAGGUCUCUAUUCUCCUGCACAGUGACCAAGCUAUCAGAAGGAGGAAAGUGGCUCAUCUAAUCUACUCCCAAUUUCAUUAUCCAAUG